This 499-nucleotide RNase P RNA is filed under the name Thermogemmatispora sp. RNAcentral describes it as "RNase P RNA component class A". It matches the Rfam family "Bacterial RNase P class A". From Rfam's summary of the family: Ribonuclease P (RNase P) is a ubiquitous endoribonuclease, found in archaea, bacteria and eukarya as well as chloroplasts and mitochondria. Its best characterised activity is the generation of mature 5'-ends of tRNAs by cleaving the 5'-leader elements of precursor-tRNAs. The record is from RNAcentral. Lineage: Bacteria; Bacillati; Chloroflexota; Ktedonobacteria; Thermogemmatisporales; Thermogemmatisporaceae.
UGAGCAGGCCAGGCAAUCGCGGGUCAUGUCUGCCGAACGUUCCCAAUCCUUUGGCCUUCCAGCCCUGCGUGCAGGCGGGCCAGGAGAAGGGGCAGCCGGCUGCUGACUCGAGGAAAGUCCGAACUCCACAGAGCAGGAUGCUGGCUAACGGCCAGUGGGGGUGACCCCAAGGAAAGUGCCACAGAAACGAUACCGCCCGCCGGCUGAGAGGCCGUUGCGGGUAAGGGUGAAAUGGUGGGGUAAGAGCCCACCGGCAGGCGGGUGACCGUCUGGCCGGGCAAACCCCAUCCGGAGCAAGACCGAGCAGAGGGAGUAGCAUCCCCGCUCGUGGGCUGCGCUGGAGGCUACGAGCGCAGGGAUGCUCGCAGGUUGCUCGCCUGUUACCCCUCGGGUUGGUCGCUAGAGGCGGCGGGUAACCGUCGUCCCAGAGAGAUGAUUGCCGCCCGGGUCACCGCAAGGUGGCACGGGAACAGAAUUCGGCUUACGGCCUGCUCAGACC